This 69-nucleotide transfer RNA is filed under the name Hordeum vulgare. RNAcentral's name for it is "tRNA-OTHER". The record is from RNAcentral. Lineage: Eukaryota; Viridiplantae; Streptophyta; Magnoliopsida; Poales; Poaceae.
GGCGUAGCAUAGUGGUGCAGUGCGUUGAUGUGGAACAGCCGAUCGUGGGUUCGAGUCCCACGUGUGCCA